Molecule: unclassified non-coding RNA, 340 nt
Filed under: soil metagenome
Description: partial contains 5.8S ribosomal RNA, internal transcribed spacer 2, and large subunit ribosomal RNA
Rfam family: 5.8S ribosomal RNA (bases 1-120)
Source: RNAcentral
GAUGAAGAACGCUGUGAAAUGCGAUACGUAAUGUGAAUUGCAGAAUUCAGUGAAUCAUCGAAUCUUUGAACGCACAUUGCGCCCGCUGGAAUUCCAGCGGGCAUGCCUGUUCGAGCGCCAUUUCACCCCUCAAGCUUUGCUUGGUGUUGGGGCACUACCAGUAAAACGGUAGGCCCUGAAAUUCAGUGGCGGGCUCGCUAAGACUCUGAGCGUAGUAGUUUACCACCUCGCUUUGGAAGGAUUAGCGGUGCUCUUGCCGUAAAACCCCCAACUUUUGAAAAUUUGACCUCGGAUCAGGUAGGAAUACCCGCUGAACUUAAGCAUAUCAAUAAGCGGAGGA